AACGAACGCUGGCGGCAUGCCUAACACAUGCAAGUCGAACGAGACCUUCGGGUCUAGUGGCGCACGGGUGCGUCACGCGUGGGAACCUGCCCUUAGGUUCGGAAUAACUCCCCGAAAGGGGUGCUAAUACCGGAUAAUGUCUUCGGACCAAAGAUUUAUCGCCUUUGGAUGGGCCCGCGUUGGAUUAGCUAGUUGGUAGGGUAAAAGCCUACCAAGGCGACGAUCCAUAGCUGGUCUGAGAGGAUGAUCAGCCACACUGGGACUGAGACACGGCCCAGACUCCUACGGGAGGCAGCAGUGGGGAAUAUUGGACAAUGGGGGAAAGCCUGAUCCAGCAAUGCCGCGUGAGUGAUGAAGGCCUUAGGGUUGUAAAGCUCUUUUACCCGGGAUGAUAAUGACAGUACCGGGAGAAUAAGCUCCGGCUAACUCCGUG
RNAcentral lists this ribosomal RNA (433 nucleotides) under uncultured bacterium. RNAcentral's name for it is "partial 16S ribosomal RNA". It matches the Rfam family "Bacterial small subunit ribosomal RNA", at positions 29 to 507 of the family's 1533-position model. The record is from RNAcentral.